RNAcentral lists this transfer RNA (78 nucleotides) under Nitrososphaerota archaeon. Its description in RNAcentral is "Thaumarchaeota archaeon tRNA-Val". It matches the Rfam family "tRNA". Rfam says of the family: Transfer RNA (tRNA) molecules are approximately 80 nucleotides in length. Their secondary structure includes four short double-helical elements and three loops (D, anti-codon, and T loops). The record is from RNAcentral. Lineage: Archaea; Thermoproteati; Nitrososphaerota. RNAcentral also lists the same sequence under 1 other name.
GGGCCAGUCGUCUAGUUUGGUCAGGACAUCGCUCUGACACGGCGAAGGUCCCCGGUUCAAUUCCGGGCUGGCCCACCA